This 482-nucleotide ribosomal RNA is filed under the name uncultured bacterium. RNAcentral's name for it is "partial 16S ribosomal RNA". It matches the Rfam family "Bacterial small subunit ribosomal RNA", at positions 30 to 507 of the family's 1533-position model. The record is from RNAcentral.
AUUGAACGCUGGCGGCAUGAUUUACACAUGCAAGUCGAACGGUAACAGGCCGCAAGGUUCUGACGAGUGGCGAACGGGUGAGUAAUGCAUCGGAACGUGCCCAGUCGUGGGGGAUAACUACUCGAAAGAGUAGCUAAUACCGCAUACGAUCUAUGGAUGAAAGCGGGGGACCGUAAGGCCUCGCGCGAUUGGAGCGGCCGAUGUCAGAUUAGGUAGUUGGUGGGGUAAAGGCUCACCAAGCCAACGAUCUGUAGCUGGUCUGAGAGGACGACCAGCCACACUGGGACUGAGACACGGCCCAGACUCCUACGGGAGGCAGCAGUGGGGAAUUUUGGACAAUGGGCGCAAGCCUGAUCCAGCAAUGCCGCGUGCAGGAAGAAGGCCUUCGGGUUGUAAACUGCUUUUGUACGGAACGAAACGGCUCUGGUUAAUACCCGGGGCUAAUGACGGUACCGUAAGAAUAAGCACCGGCUAACUACGUG